UACGGGGGGAGCAAGCGUUGUUCGGAUUUACUGGGCGUAAAGGGCUCGUAGGCGGCCAACUAAGUCGGACGUGAAAUCCCUCGGCUUAACCGGGGAACUGCGUCCGAUACUGGAUGGCUUGAGUUCGGGAGAGGGAUGCGGAAUUCCAGGUGUAGCGGUGAAAUGCGUAGAUAUCUGGAGGAACACCGGUGGCGAAGGCGGCAUCCUGGGUCGGUAUUGACGCUGAGGAGCGAAAGCCAGGGGAGCAAACGGG
Molecule: ribosomal RNA, 253 nt
Filed under: uncultured bacterium
Lineage: Bacteria
Description: partial 16S ribosomal RNA
Rfam family: Bacterial small subunit ribosomal RNA
Source: RNAcentral